This is a long non-coding RNA of Oreochromis niloticus (Nile tilapia), 1035 nucleotides long. RefSeq lists it as uncharacterized. The transcript is spliced from 5 exons. NCBI's taxonomy places the organism in Eukaryota, Metazoa, Chordata, Actinopteri, Cichliformes, Cichlidae. The record is from RefSeq and is a predicted model, not a curated record.
GUGACAUCAGCGGUCAUGGAGAGUCUCCAUCCAGCUGGAUCACUGUCACAGACAAACACACCACCACACCUCCACCUACAUCCACACCUCCACCUACAUCCACCUCUGCUCCUGAUUCCACCUCCAUCACUCUUCUUCCAUCACUCUCUCCUCCCGUUCUCUCUGUGUUGUCAUUUGUUGGAUCAGUCUGUGUUCUGGUUCUGCUGGUGUUACUGGUUCUGCUGGUGAGACGAUGUGUUCACAGGAAACCUGAAGCAGAUCAAGAAGAAAGUGAAGAAGACGACCUCAUCACUUAUGUCAUCAUUGAGAUAUCAGCUCAUCAAGAACAAUCUGACAAAGAAAGACGAGAUAUUUAUUUUGUAGCUGUGGUCUACUCAGCAGUGAGAACUGAAGACGUCAGUUAUGGAAAAACAACCAUCAGAACAAGGAGGCCCAGACUUUAAACCAGAGCCAGACGUCGUCUACUCUUCACUGAAGUAGUCCACCAGUCCAACCACUGACGUCCAGCUGCUGGUCUCUAACUGGUCCCCCGAGCAUCUCAGACUAGAGUAAAAGAAAAUAGAUAAAACACAUUUUUAUAUGUUUUAUGUCAUUUUUUGUGUAUUUUUUAUUGGAAUAUUUCAUAUUUUUUUAGGCUAAAUGAGUAAUGUACAAAGGGCCUAUACACCAGUAAAGAUUAGUUAGUGAUAUCAUAAUUCAGAAUCUAUUCAGUAACAAACACAAUGUGGUGAUAAGUAUAACAAAGUUAGAAAAUCUGCAUCUGGUUAAAAGGAAAAAACACACAAACAUGAAAGAGUUUGCCAGAUUUGUACUCUGUCAUAGCAGCAUGACAGUCGUACUAAUCUAUUGAUUAUACAAACCAAUUUGUGCUGCUGCUAUUUUCAGAAACUAAUAAAUGUCCAUUUAGAUAAGAGGGAUGAAUUUAAAUCUCAGUGGGUAUAACACUCCUGUGACUUGGCUGGGAGCAUCUUAGGAUCACCAUGGAGGAUGUGUUUUUAACUUUCUGUGAAAAAUAAAGUCUGAAAUUCUGUGAUA